UUGGCACAUGAUUCAUUGCUUCUAUAGUAUGCAUUCAGUGGUUGUGAACUGUGUAAAUAUAUUGCUACAAGUGACGCAGAUGGGACAUGUUGUCUAGCAAUGGAUAUUGGAAGAGAAAAAAAUCAAAUUAAUUGUACUGGUGAGGCAGAAACAGGUAUAACAUGAAGAAUCUGAAGCCCUGAGAAGUUGUGCCUUGCCUCAGACCACAGAGGAAAAUAAGUGGCCAAGCUUGGAUUCAUACUCAGGUCCCAUGAACUCCAUAUCACCUUUAGCAUCAUAGAUUUAGAGCCAGAGACUCUAUCUGAAGCCCAUGUUUGUUUGUUUUUUUGUUUUUUGAUACUUAGCCUUUAACAUAAUUGAUUACCUAUAUAAUUUUAUAUUUACACAUUUAAAAUUAUUCUGAUAAGCGUUCAUCAGAUUGUCAAAAGUGUCUAUGAUACACAACAAAAUCCCAAGAAUUUUUGAACAUUAGAAGGGGCUUUAAUGGCCUUUGAAUCUAACAACUUAAUUUCAUAGGGUGAGGAAACUGAGAUACAUAAGUAUUACAUGACUUGCCUAGGGAAGUGGUCUUUGAUCCCUAUUCUUCUUGGCUCCAAGUCCUAUGCCUUAUUCUCCAUAAAUGUCCUAAAAAUAAUUGCUUGUUUCCAACUCUCUGUUUAUGUAGGUAUAUAUCUAUGCUUCUGCCCAAGUCUGAGCAAAAUUCCUCAACCUGAAAUGAAAGUGACCUGAGAUUCUUGAAGCUAGGCCAAUGGAACACAGGUCCAAUUAUGUUGAAAUAAUUUUGAAUAUAGAUUCAGUAUUUUAUUUUUAUCCAUUUUAAUUAUGAGCUUAUAAUGACAAUAUAUACUACAAGAUUGUAAGCAAUAUUUUAAAAGUAAGAAACCCAUCAAUAGUAAUUUCAAAGAGUAUGGGAGUAUUUUAUGUAUAUUAUGCAAGAACCAUUGUCUGCAGAGAUAUCACCAGGUUAAUCAGAGAUGUCACAUGUUUUUGAACAUGAAAAAUCUGAGGGUAUUUAUGUAAAGAAAGUUUGUGAUCUGACCAAGUGGAAGGAGUACUGAUGCUCACUUUUUUUUUAAUUAGAAUUUUUUGUUUGCAGUAUUUAAACAUGUAUUGAUAUGUGAUAGUAUAGAUGCAUGUAUAUAUGUGUACAUACUUACUAUACUAAUAUGAUCAUAUCUCUUUCUGCUUGCAAAGUUUUAGUGAUUCCCUAUUCCAUAUAAGUUAAAAUAUAUACUCUUUAGCCUGGCUUUCCUGCCCCUGCCCCUUAUUUCCUUAUAUGGGAAAACACAAAGCAAUUCCAGUUUCCUGAGGCUUUGUUACUGAGCUCAUCUAAUGACACUAUGGCACUAAGUCAGCAUCUUUUGUAAUGUGUUUACUAGUUGCUUCAUUUUAUUGGCUCUCUAGAUGUCCUUUUGGACCAGCCCUUACAUGAACAGUUCUCAUUCCUAGAGCAUGCAGCGUGACUGCACAGUUUUGGUGAAGAUAAUGAGAGGGCCUUUAAAGGCCAACUUGAGAAAGAAGGGACUGCUUCAGCACAUUUUUACUGCUGAUGUAACUGCUUCUUUUUAUUUUUAUCAAUAAAACAUCACAUCACUCCCAA
Antechinus flavipes (yellow-footed antechinus) is the source of this 1600-nucleotide long non-coding RNA. RefSeq lists it as uncharacterized. Lineage: Eukaryota; Metazoa; Chordata; Mammalia; Dasyuromorphia; Dasyuridae. The transcript is spliced from 3 exons. The record is from RefSeq and is a predicted model, not a curated record.